UGAACGCUAGCGGCAGGCUUAACACAUGCAAGUCGAGGGGCAGCAUAAUGAAGUAGCAAUACGGAAUUGAUGGCGACCGGCGGACGGGUGCGUAACGCGUAUGCAACCUACCUUAUACAGGGGGAUAACCUUUCGAAAGGGAGACUAAUACCGCAUAACAUUACUUUGAGGCAUCUUGAGGUAAUUAAAUCUUCGGAGGUAUAAGAUGGGCAUGCGUAGCAUUAGCUAGAUGGUGCGGUAACGGCGUACCAUGGCGACGAUGCUUAGGGGUUCUGAGAGGAAGGUCCCCCACACUGGUACUGAGACACGGACCAGACUCCUACGGGAGGCAGCAGUGAGGAAUAUUGGUCAAUGGGCGGAAGCCUGAACCAGCCAAGUAGCGUGAAGGAUUACUGCCCUACGGGUUUUAAACUUCUUUUAUGCGAGAGUAAUGUGCGCUACGUGUAGCGUAUUGCAAGUAUCGCAUGAAUAAGCAUCGGCUAACUCCGUG
Molecule: ribosomal RNA, 490 nt
Filed under: uncultured bacterium
Lineage: Bacteria
Description: bacterial SSU rRNA
Rfam family: Bacterial small subunit ribosomal RNA
Source: RNAcentral